RNAcentral lists this ribozyme (72 nucleotides) under Rodentolepis nana. RNAcentral's name for it is "Hymenolepis nana HDV ribozyme from F. prausnitzii". It matches the Rfam family "HDV ribozyme from F. prausnitzii". The record is from Rfam by way of RNAcentral. Lineage: Eukaryota; Metazoa; Platyhelminthes; Cestoda; Cyclophyllidea; Hymenolepididae.
GGGGUGCGCAAAAGACAUACCUUUACGUGGUGCACCCUGGACAACGUAUAUUCAUACGGCAAAAAAGUCUUU